CUACGGGAGGAGCAGUGGGGAAUAUUGCACAAUGGGGGAAACCCUGAUGCAGCGACGCCGCGUGAGCGAAGAAGUAUUUCGGUAUGUAAAGCUCUAUCAGCAGGGAAGAAGAAUGACGGUACCUGACUAAGAAGCACCGGCUAAAUACGUGCCAGCAGCCGCGGUAAUACGUAUGGUGCAAGCGUUAUCCGGAUUUACUGGGUGUAAAGGGAGCGCAGGCGGUCUGGAAAGUCUGAUGUGAAAGCCCGGGGCUCAACCCCGGGACUGCAUUGGAAACUUUCAGACUAGAGUGUCGGAGAGGUAAGUGGAAUUCCUAGUGUAGCGGUGAAAUGCGUAGAUAUUAGGAGGAACACCAGUGGCGAAGGCGACUUACUGGACGAUAACUGACGCUGAGGCUCGAAAGCGUGGGGAGCAAACAGGAUUAGAUACCCCGGUAGUC
RNAcentral lists this ribosomal RNA (439 nucleotides) under uncultured bacterium. Its description in RNAcentral is "partial 16S ribosomal RNA". It matches the Rfam family "Bacterial small subunit ribosomal RNA", at positions 339 to 795 of the family's 1533-position model. The record is from RNAcentral.